This 402-nucleotide ribosomal RNA is filed under the name uncultured bacterium. RNAcentral's name for it is "bacterial SSU rRNA". It matches the Rfam family "Bacterial small subunit ribosomal RNA", at positions 29 to 435 of the family's 1533-position model. The record is from RNAcentral.
AUUGAACGCUGGCGGAAUGCUUUACACAUGCAAGUCGAGCGGCAGCGCGGGGGCAACCCUGGCGGCGAGCGGCGAACGGGUGAGUAACAUAUCGGAACGUACCCAGUCGUGGGGGAUAACUAUCCGAAAGGAUAGCUAAUACCGCAUACGUCCUGAGGGAGAAAGCGGGGGAUCGCAAGACCUCGCGCGAUUGGAGCGGCCGAUAUCGGAUUAGCUAGUUGGUGGGGUAAAGGCUCACCAAGGCGACGAUCCGUAGCGGGUCUGAGAGGACGACCCGCCACACUGGAACUGAGACACGGUCCAGACUCCUACGGGAGGCAGCAGUGGGGAAUUUUGGACAAUGGGGGCAACCCUGAUCCAGCCAUUCCGCGUGAGUGAAGAAGGCCUCGGUUGUAAGUACGU